This is a non-coding RNA of Phyllostomus hastatus (greater spear-nosed bat), 459 nucleotides long. Lineage: Eukaryota; Metazoa; Chordata; Mammalia; Chiroptera; Phyllostomidae. The record is from the annotation of a RefSeq genome assembly.
AUGGAGUUUGGGCUCAGCUGGGUUUUCCUUGUUGCUAUUUUAAGAGGUGUCCAGUGUGAGGUGCAGCUGGUGGAGUCUGGGGGAGGCCUAGUGAGGCCUGUGGGGUCUCUGAGACUCUCCUGUGCAGCCUCUGGGUUCACUGUCAGUAGCUAUGAUAUGAACUGGGUCUGCCAGGCUACAGGGAAGGGACUGGGGUGGGUCUCACACAUUAGUAGUGGUGGUAGCACAUACUAUGCCAACUCUGUGAAGGGUCGAUUCACCAUCUCCAGAGACAAUGGCAAGAACGAGCUCUACCUGCAAAUGAACAACCUGAGAUCUGAGGACACAGCUGUGUAUUACUGUGUGAGAGGCACAGUGAGGGGAAGUCAGUGUGAGCCCAGACACAAACCUCCCUGGGAGACAAGAGGAUUAGGCUGCAGGGUAUGCUCAGUACACCAGGGGGCACCCUGGGUACACUGA